GAUGAACGCUGGCGGCGUGCCUAAUACAUGCAAGUCGAGCGAACAGACGAGGAGCUUGCUCCUCUGACGUUAGCGGCGGACGGGUGAGUCACACGUGGAUAACCUACCUAUAAGACUGGGAUAACUUCGGGAAACCGGAGCUCAUACCGGAAAAUAUAUUGACCCGCAGGGUUCAAUAGUGAAAGACGGUUUUGCUGUCACUUAUAGACGGAUCCGCGCCGCCUUAGGUAGUUGGUAAGGUAACGGCUUACCAAGGCAACGAUGUGUAACCGACCUGUGAGGGGGGUCGGCCACCCUGGGACUGAGACACGGUCCAGACUCCUACGGGAGGCAGCAGUAGGGAAUCUUCCGAAAUGGGCGGAAGCCUGACGGAUGAACGCCGCCCGAGUGCUGAAGGUCCUCGGAUCGUAAAACUCUGUUAUUAGGGAAGAACAAAUGUGUAAGUAACUAUGCACGGCUUGACGGUACCUAAUCAGAAAGCAACGGCUAACUACGUG
This 497-nucleotide ribosomal RNA is filed under the name uncultured bacterium. RNAcentral describes it as "partial 16S ribosomal RNA". It matches the Rfam family "Bacterial small subunit ribosomal RNA", at positions 28 to 507 of the family's 1533-position model. The record is from RNAcentral.